Molecule: ribosomal RNA, 501 nt
Filed under: Triticum aestivum (bread wheat)
Lineage: Eukaryota; Viridiplantae; Streptophyta; Magnoliopsida; Poales; Poaceae
Description: partial small subunit ribosomal RNA
Source: RNAcentral
AUGAUCCAUGGAUAUUCAACUUUGGGCCGGUGGAAAGAGGCGGGUAAAAUUUUCAGAGAAAUGACAAGCCGGUGUCUUAUACCAGAUAUUUUCACUUGGAACUCGUUCAUGGGCUCCCUUUGCAAGUAUGGAAGAAGCAAAGAAGCUGCAGAAAUUUUCUUUUCCAUGGCUGCAAAGGGCCACAAACCUAAUAUUGUCUCCUACAUUAUUCUUCUUCGUGGGUAUGCCAAUGAAGGAAGCUUUGCUGAUAUGAUGAGUCUAUUUAAUUCAAUGGAAGGCAACGGUAUUGUAGCCAACUGCCAAGUUUUCACAAUAUUAAUUGAUGCAUAUGCUAAACAAGGAAUGAUUGAUGAAGCUAUGCUCAUACUUACUGACAUGCGGGGACAAGGACUGAGUCCGGAUGUAUUCACCUAUUCAACUCUAAUAUCUGCACUUUGCAGAAUGGGUAGGCUGGCUGAUGCUAUGGAUAAGUUCAGUCAGAUGAUUGGUGUUAGAUGUGUA